This 395-nucleotide ribosomal RNA is filed under the name Acanthamoeba sp. MN-2012. RNAcentral's name for it is "SSU rRNA". It matches the Rfam family "Eukaryotic small subunit ribosomal RNA", at positions 781 to 1079 of the family's 1831-position model. Lineage: Eukaryota; Discosea; Longamoebia; Acanthamoebidae. The record is from RNAcentral.
CCAAUUUUCUGCCACCGAAUACAUUAGCAUGGGAUAAUGGAAUAGGACCCUGUCCUCCUAUUUUCAGUUGGUUUUGGCAGCGCGAGGACUAGGGUAAUGAUUAAUAGGGAUAGUUGGGGGCAUUAAUAUUUAAUUGUCAGAGGUGAAAUUCUUGGAUUUAUGAAAGAUUAACUUCUGCGAAAGCAUCUGCCAAGGAUGUUUUCAUUAAUCAAGAACGAAAGUUAGGGGAUCGAAGACGAUCAGAUACCGUCGUAGUCUUAACCAUAAACGAUGCCGACCAGCGAUUAGGAGACGUUGAAUACAAAACACCACCAUCGGUGCGGUCGUCCUUGGCGUCGGUCUUUCGGGGCCGGCGCGGGGACGGCUUAGCCCGGUGGCACCGGUGAAUGACUCCC